GGCGAUAGCUCAACUGGCAGAGCAACGGCCUUCCAAGCCGUAGGCUGCGGGUUCGAUUCCCGUUCGCC
RNAcentral lists this transfer RNA (68 nucleotides) under human gut metagenome. It matches the Rfam family "tRNA". From Rfam's summary of the family: Transfer RNA (tRNA) molecules are approximately 80 nucleotides in length. Their secondary structure includes four short double-helical elements and three loops (D, anti-codon, and T loops). RNAcentral also lists the same sequence under 1 other name. The record is from RNAcentral.